GCUGGGCAUGGUGGCACAUGCCUGUAACCCCAGUGACUUGGGAGGCUGAGGCAGGAAGAUCUCAAUUUUGAGGCCAGCCUCAG
Molecule: small RNA, 83 nt
Filed under: Marmota monax (woodchuck)
Lineage: Eukaryota; Metazoa; Chordata; Mammalia; Rodentia; Sciuridae
Source: RNAcentral